This 505-nucleotide ribosomal RNA is filed under the name uncultured crenarchaeote. RNAcentral's name for it is "bacterial SSU rRNA". It matches the Rfam family "Archaeal small subunit ribosomal RNA", at positions 338 to 846 of the family's 1478-position model. Lineage: Archaea; Thermoproteati; Thermoproteota. The record is from RNAcentral.
GGCGCGAAACCUCUGCAAUAGGCGAAAGCCUGACAGGGUUACUCUGAGUGGUUCCCGCUAAGGGGAUCUUUUGGCACCUCUAAAAAUGGUGCAGAAUAAGGGGUGGGCAGCCUGGUGUCAGCCGCCGCGGUAAUACCAGCACCCCGAGUGGUCGGGACGAUUAUUGGGCCUAAAGCAUCCGUAGCCGGUCAUGCAAGUCUUCCGUUAAAUCCAGCCGCUCAACGGUUGGGCUGCGGAGGAUACUACGUGGCUAGGAGGCGGGAGAGGCAAGCGGUACUCAGUGGGUAGGGGUAAAAUCCUUUGAUCCAUUGAAGACCACCAGUGGCGAAGGCGGCUUGCCAGAACGCGCUCGACGGUGAGGGAUGAAAGCUGGGGGAGCAAACCGGAUUANAUACCCGGGUAGUCCCAGCUGUAAACGAUGCAGACUCGGUGAUGGGAUGGCCUCGAGCUAUCCCAGUGCCGCAGGGAAGCCGUUAAGUCUGCCGCCUGGGGAGUACGGGCUCAA